GCGUAAGCGCGCGCAGGUGGUUUCUUAAGUCUGAUGUGAAAGCCCACGGCUCAACCGUGGAGGGUCAUUGGAAACUGGGAGACUUGAGUGCAGAAGAGGAAAGUGGAAUUCCAUGUGUAGCGGUGAAAUGCGUAGAGAUAUGGAGGAACACCAGUGGCGAAGGCGACUUUCUGGUCUGUAACUGACACUGAGGCGCGAAAGCGUGGGGAGCAAACAGGAUUAUAUACCCUGGUAGUCCACGCCGUAGACGAUGAGUGCUAAGUGUUACAGGGUUUCCGCCCUUCCCUGCUGAACUUAACGCA
RNAcentral lists this ribosomal RNA (302 nucleotides) under Geobacillus stearothermophilus. Its description in RNAcentral is "bacterial SSU rRNA". It matches the Rfam family "Bacterial small subunit ribosomal RNA", at positions 563 to 859 of the family's 1533-position model. Lineage: Bacteria; Bacillati; Bacillota; Bacilli; Caryophanales; Anoxybacillaceae. The record is from RNAcentral.